RNAcentral lists this microRNA precursor (103 nucleotides) under Marmota monax (woodchuck). Lineage: Eukaryota; Metazoa; Chordata; Mammalia; Rodentia; Sciuridae. The record is from RNAcentral.
AGAGGGAUAGCUGGGUCAUAUGGUGGUUCCAUCCUUAGUUUUUAAAGAAAUCUCCAAAUUGUUUUCCAGAGUGGUUGUACCAGUCUGUAGUACCACCAACAAU